GAUGAACGCUGGCGGCGUGCUUAACACAUGCAAGUCGAACGAAGCACUAUACCUUGAUUCCUUCGGGUUGAUUGGUACUGUGACUGAGUGGCGGACGGGUGAGUAACGCGUGGGUAACCUGCCCUAUACAGGGGGAUAACAGAUAGAAAUGUCUGCUAAUACCGCAUAAGACCACAGCACCGCAUGGUGCGGGGGUAAAAACUCCGGUGGUAUAGGAUGGACCCGCGUCUGAUUAGCUGGUUGGUGAGGUAACGGCUCACCAAGGCAACGAUCAGUAGCCGACCUGAGAGGGUGACCGGCCACAUUGGGACUGAGACACGGCCCAA
RNAcentral lists this ribosomal RNA (326 nucleotides) under uncultured bacterium. RNAcentral describes it as "bacterial SSU rRNA". It matches the Rfam family "Bacterial small subunit ribosomal RNA", at positions 28 to 334 of the family's 1533-position model. The record is from RNAcentral.